RNAcentral lists this ribosomal RNA (483 nucleotides) under uncultured bacterium. RNAcentral describes it as "partial 16S ribosomal RNA". It matches the Rfam family "Bacterial small subunit ribosomal RNA", at positions 28 to 523 of the family's 1533-position model. The record is from RNAcentral.
GACGAACGCUGGCGGCGUGCUUAACACAUGCAAGUCGAACGAUGAAGCUGGAGCUUGCUCCGGUGGAUUAGUGGCGAACGGGUGAGUAACACGUGAGCAAUCUGCCCUUGACUCUGGGAUAACUGCGGGAAACUGUAGCUAAUACCGGAUAUGAGGCUCGAAGGCAUCUUCGGGUCUGGAAAGAAUUUCGGUCAAGGAUGAGCUCGCGGCCUAUCAGCUUGUUGGUGAGGUAAUGGCUCACCAAGGCGACGACGGGUAGCCGGCCUGAGAGGGUGACCGGCCACACGGGGACUGGGACACUGCCCAGACUCCUGCGGGAGGCAGAAGUGGGGAAUAUUGCACAAUGGGCGAAAGCCUGAUGCAGCAACGCCGCGUGAGGGAUGAAGGCCUUCGGGUUGUAAACCUCUUUUAGCAGGGAAGAAGCGAAAGUGGCGGUACCUGCAGAAAAAGCACCGGCUAACUACGUGCCAGCAGCCGCCGUAA